Molecule: ribosomal RNA, 405 nt
Filed under: uncultured microorganism
Description: bacterial SSU rRNA
Rfam family: Bacterial small subunit ribosomal RNA
Source: RNAcentral
GAGUUUGAUCAUGGCUCAGAUUGAACGCUAGCGGGAUGCCUUACACAUGCAAGUCGAACGGCAGCACGGACUUCGGUCUGGUGGCGAGUGGCGAACGGGUGAGUAAUGUAUCGGAACGUGCCUAGUAGCGGGGGGAUAACUACGCGAAAGCGUAGCUAAUACCGCAUACGCCUACGGGGAAAGGCAGGGGAUCGCAAGACCUUGCACUAUUAGAGCGGCCGAUAUCGGAUUAGCUAGUUGGUGGGGUAACGGCUCACCAAGGCGACGAUCCGUAGCUGGUUUGAGAGGACGACCAGCCACACUGGGACUGAGACACGGCCCAGACUCCUACGGGAGGCAGCAGUGGGGAAUUUUGGACAAUGGGGGAAACCCUGAUCCAGCCAUCCCGCGUGUGCGAUGAAGGCC